CACAAUAGCACUUGUUUCAGAAUUGGAGUCAUGCUUCUCUAACACUAUCACUGGUUUAUCAACUAAGUUUAUGUAAUAUUCUACAACUUUUUUUUUUUUUUUUUAGUCUUUUCAACAAUCUUCACAGCUUCUUCACCAGGAGUAGAUUCCAUCUCAAGAAGCCACUUUCUUUGCCUAUCCAUAAGAAACAACUCCUCAUCUGUUAAAAUUUUAAUCAUGAGAUGGCAGCAAUUCAGUCACAUCUUCAGGCUCCAGUUUUAAUUCUAGUUCUCUUGCUGUUUCUACCAUAUCUUUAGUUUCUUCCUUCACUGAAGUCUUGAACUCCUCAACAGUCAUCGUAAGGGUUGGAAUCAACUUCUUCCAAACUCCUGUGGAGGGUCUUGUUUCACUGUCAUUGGCUCCUGUAGUGGUUGCUGAAGGUGGAUAUGGCUGU
This 433-nucleotide long non-coding RNA is filed under the name Mustela putorius furo (domestic ferret). RNAcentral's name for it is "lncRNA (ENSMPUG00000027300.1)". The record is from RNAcentral. Lineage: Eukaryota; Metazoa; Chordata; Mammalia; Carnivora; Mustelidae.